CCUCCUCCAGGGAAGUCACCCGGCUGCUGAGCUCCUGCUCCCUCCUCUCGGCCCGCUCCUGAACCUGCUGGCAUUUGGCUUCCACCUGUGUAUGUGUGCAUUUGUGUAAUAACUGGGAUCUGGCGUAUUCAGCAUCUGAAGUGAGCAGUAAGCAUCUGACGUACAGUGUACAGAACUACAUUACUGCAGUCUCUGCCCUUCACCCCUCUUACCACAGCUGGACAAGGUCACUCCGAAUCUUGUUACCCCACCCCCACCCUGACUCAUUUCACAAAUGUCAGUUUCAGCAUGUGGAUGAAAGACUUCAGUGCUGCUGCUAAUUUUCUACUCACAGUCCCUGAGCAUGUACUUAACAAAAGUGAAUCCAGGACACCAGCAAUGGUAGAAGAUAUUCCUGAGUAUGUGGGGCAGCGAUGAGAGGAGACCCUGAAUUCCCUUUAAAAACACAAUCACAUACAUUUAAUUCUUCCCAUUGAGCCGAGCGGUCAAGGUAUCAUUUCCUAUCUAACAAAAACAAGCCAUAGCACCGCUGUACAACUGGACAUGGGUGCUCCCCACAUAACCCCUGGCUAUAAAUAGCAAGCCAAUGACAGGAACUACCUGGAUAAUGAGUUGAACAGAGGAUGAGCAGCUAUAGAAAAGACAAGGGAGAAUCACCGCUCCAGGCUCUACAAGGACAUUGCAAGUAUGAGUCAAGGAAAGAGACGCUUCUGCCUCACAAAAUCAUAAUAAACCCAAACAGACAGAUUUCAAAUUAAGCAAUCCUAUUAGUUGUGUUCAUGUAGUUUUUGUAGCUACACCCUUACAGCAGACAUCAUAGACACAGGAAAGACAGAAGCCUCUUCACACAACACUUAUCAGUAAAUGUCAAUGAUUAAUAAACUGUAUGUAUCCACAUUAGUCAGUGCUAUAGUCUUACUGCCCAUCAGACCAGCCUCCCUUGGUGCUUUUUUGUGUCAAGCACAGACUGUCCCCGAACACAGCCCAGAAGGCAAAGACAGAUUUCCAACUAUUUCCCCUUCUUGGAUGGUUAACCAUGAGAAAAACCGAGGGUGUAAUUACCUACAAACAACAUUCACAUUGACUGCCUCAUAAAUGACUGGUGCGCUGCUCAUAUUUGAAGUCUCCUUUCUCCGGGCAUAAUCAAAAGGAACAGAAGAGAGUGAAAGCUGUCAUUUGUUGCCCAUUUGGUUUCUCCCAAAGGAUCCGAGCGCGCACCACUGCAAGGCUGGUCUCUUCUAUAAACAUAAGACUACAACGUAAGCUCUGCAAUUAGGAUUUUUUUACAGCUUCACUUUUUGUCUUUAUUGAGAUGUCCAAUUAUGCUGCACAGCAAGCCAUGGUAAUAGUUUAUUAUAAUUAUUAUUAUUAUUAUUAUCAUUCACUAUUUUAGACAGUGAUCUGAUGUUUCUGAACACUUACAAGUCAAUGUUACGUGGCAAGAGUAGAAUUACACACAGGAGCUUAGUCAGGAUAAUUUGCUAUAUUGAAGCAUUUAAGUACCUAUUAAAAACAUAAACAGCAAACCUUAACAAAUAAGCACAGUAAACACAACAAGACCUUGUUUGAGUGCUUCACAUGGCACUGAUCUAAUGAGGAACAAACGGCUGACUGAUCAUGUGAAGAAAAACUGCUCGCAGCGCACUGAAGUGGUUCCAAAGGCAACUUGCCAUUGCCAGCAAAAUGUGAAAUUUACAUUAAAACACAGGAAAGCUUGAGCAGUAGAGCUUAUUCGGUAAAUGAAUUUGUAACUUGAUCCGCCAGUAUAUUCCCAGGUUUGUGUCAGGAAGGAAAGUAUGGGAAUCCUACAAAGAAGGUGCUAAACAGCGCCUAUAAAGAUCUCAGAUUAAACCUUUCAUUGAUAUAUUCUUUGUAAUAUAAUGAUAAAACUAAAUAUGUGUAUUGUUAAAAGAACUUGAGCUCAGGACAUGACUUCAGUGGUAGCUACCACUGAAGUCAUGUCAUCUGGAUUGAUGGGAAGAAUUUGGGGGUUUCAGCAACCUGAGGGGACUUUACAGUAUAAAAUUAAAACCUUACACAUAGUGGGUGUUCUAUUGGCUCCAGUAUUUUGGACUCAGUAUGUUUACAUUUGAUUACUUCUGUGCUAACAAAAUUAUAAAUAGAUAAAAGCCACUUCUCCUCCAGAUAUAUAUUCCUGGCACGGUGGAGAAGGCUCUGAAGCUGCAUUUAGACCUUCAUGCUGGGAAAUAAGAUUUAGAGGAAAUCUAACAAAAGACUUCACAUGAAUAUAAAAACUUUCCAUUUAGGAUUAUGAAUUUCCUAAAGGUGGUGGAGCGUAAGCUGCAGUGUCUUCACUGACCUGUGGAGAGAACAGGCAUGUCCCUCCACACAGGAGAACAUUCAUAGAGUUAUCAGGUAGAACAAUACUAUCAGUGCAUUAAGGCUUUUACUUAUAACCACGGUGGGGUAGGGAUUGAACCAAUAAAAGGGAUAUUUAUAAAGCAGAUGGGGAGCACUGAUCGAACAAGAAUCCUGUUGAACUCACGACUCCACAUGGUGCAACGUUAGCAAGUGAACUGAGACAUUCAGGAGGAAUAUUGAAGCCAUGUAACACUGAAAAUAGCGUUAUACGACUUUCUGUUGGCCAACAUUACAGCCACACAGUGACACAUCCUCCGGCUCAUUAUAUCAUAUCAGGAGCGACACGUCUGCUUCACAAUGACAGUCAUUAAAUUACAGGAGCAGAAAUGUCCACAACAUCCAAGCUGUCAUCAAAGUCCGUUUGACGUCGCCGCUCAGACCAAUUGAUCCCGAGCGACUCUCUCUGACAGCUCCGUUAACGUCCAACGACAACGGAAAAGCGUUAACGGUAAAGUUUACACAUUUUAACUCCACCAAUUGGUGACAGAAGAGGGAAGAAGCUGUAGACGGGCAGACAUAAAUGAGUAUUAGCCUCUAGCUUCAUCUCACCUGUUCAGUAUUGCGGCGGUUGUUUGAUCAGGAUGCUGCUGCCGCCGCCUCACGCACGCGAGUCAUUAAAGUGUCACCGCCGGCCCGUGCUGGAGCCGGUAGGUGGAGCGCGUGAAGCAGGUUUGGCGCAGUGCUCGGAGAGAUUUCUGGGAAAUGUAGUUUUUGUGUUAGACGCUGGGAAUUGGUGAAAUUACAGGUUUUCCAAGUGUACAUUCAAAGAUAUUUUAUAUAUACGUCUAAAAUCGUUCAUGUCUGUGUAUUUAGGACUACUUACUUAUUGUUUUUUUUUUUUAUUAUUGAAUUUCUUGAUGGGAAUGAAUUAUAUAUACUGUCAGUGGAAUGAAUGCUGGACAUGGGAUAGUCUUUCAUAUCUUCUGUACCAAAUGUGUCAACAAAACUGCCUCCACACUGAAAUACGCGGCAAAUAAAAAUCAAUCACAUGCAAACAGACCCGACCAUACCAUAUUAAGUCUUUAUGCCAAUUUGGAGGCAGUGCAGUCUUUUGUUGUUGUAUUGGAUUGUAUGGGUUUUAGUAAUAUUUUGUCAUCCCUUAUAGAAUUACCGCAUCUCUGACGCAUUUGCAAUAAAAACAAAAUGUAGGCCGAUACAUUCACACAGCACAGAUAUAGGAUUUAUUUCAGAUGAUUCUGAGGUGUUUCUAAUAUCAGAUUUAAAUUAUUAUACUAAAACCAUAAGAUGAUUCAUGAUAGUAUACCCCUAUUGAUACAGGCUAAGUGAGGCGCAACGCGUGUAUAGUCCAAUACAAUUCAACAAUACACGAACUACUAACUCCAAAAUGAUCAUAAAGUUUCAACAAAAACAUUGCAUAACACCGAUGAAGGUCCGAUUUACCGCAGGGUGAUGUCGAAGUCACGUUGGUAGGUUGUGUCGAAUGUGCUGACACGAACUUAAAUAAAUCCCAUGAUGAGAGAAAA
Dicentrarchus labrax (European seabass) is the source of this 3866-nucleotide long non-coding RNA. RefSeq lists it as uncharacterized. The record is from RefSeq and is a predicted model, not a curated record. The transcript is spliced from 2 exons. Lineage: Eukaryota; Metazoa; Chordata; Actinopteri; Moronidae.